Molecule: ribosomal RNA, 245 nt
Filed under: uncultured Spirochaetaceae bacterium
Lineage: Bacteria; Pseudomonadati; Spirochaetota; Spirochaetia; Spirochaetales; Spirochaetaceae
Description: partial 16S ribosomal RNA
Rfam family: Bacterial small subunit ribosomal RNA
Source: RNAcentral
CACGUAAGGUGCAAGCGUUGUUCGGAAUCAUUGGGCGUAAAGGGCAUGUAGGCGGCGCAGCAAGUCUGGAGUGAAAGGCAGAAGCUCAACUUCUGGACUGCUUUGGAAACUGCUGCGCUGGAGUCGCUGAGGGGGAGCCGGAAUUCCAGGUGUAGGGGUGAAAUCUGUAGAUAUCUGGAAGAACACCAAUGGCGAAGGCAGGCUUCCAGCAGACGACUGACGCUGAGGUGCGAAGGUGCGGGUAG